UGAGUAACCUGCCCUUAACUCUGGAUAAGCCUGGGAAACUGGGUCUAAUACCGGAUAUGACUCCUCAUCGCAUGGUGGGGGGUGGAAAGCUUUAUUGUGGUUUUGGAUGGACUCGCGGCCUAUCAGCUUGUUGGUGAGGUAAUAGCUCACCAAGGCGACGACGGGUAGCCGGCCUGAGAGGGUGACCGGCCACACUGGGACUGAGACACGGCCCAGACUCCUACGGGAGCAG
RNAcentral lists this ribosomal RNA (232 nucleotides) under uncultured bacterium. RNAcentral's name for it is "partial 16S ribosomal RNA". It matches the Rfam family "Bacterial small subunit ribosomal RNA", at positions 118 to 347 of the family's 1533-position model. The record is from RNAcentral.